UACGUAGGGGGCGAGCGUUGUCCGGAUUCAUUGGGCGUAAAGAGCUCGUAGGCGGUUUGGUAAGUCGGGUGUGAAAACCCCAGGCUCAACCUGGGGACGCCACCUGAUACUGCUAUGACUUGAGUCUGGUAGGGGACCACGGAAUUCCUGGUGUAGCGGUGAAAUGCGCAGAUAUCAGGAGGAACACCGGUGGCGAAGGCGGCUACCUGGAUUGACACUGACACUGAGGCGCGAGAGCGUGGGGAGCAAACAGG
Molecule: ribosomal RNA, 254 nt
Filed under: uncultured bacterium
Lineage: Bacteria
Description: partial 16S ribosomal RNA
Rfam family: Bacterial small subunit ribosomal RNA
Source: RNAcentral